Molecule: ribosomal RNA, 251 nt
Filed under: uncultured bacterium
Lineage: Bacteria
Description: partial 16S ribosomal RNA
Rfam family: Bacterial small subunit ribosomal RNA
Source: RNAcentral
UACGAAGGGGGCUAGCGUUGCUCGGAAUCACUGGGCGUAAAGGGUGCGUAGGCGGGUCUUUAAGUCAGGGGUGAAAUCCUGGAGCUCAACUCCAGAACUGCCUUUGAUACAGGAUCUUGAGUUCGGGAGAGGUGAGUGGAACUGCGAGUGUAGAGGUGAAAUUCGUAGAUAUUCGCAAGAACACCAGUGGCGAAGGCGGCUCACUGGCCCGAUACUGACGCUGAGGCACGAAAGCGUGGGGAGCAAACAGG